Mycena maculata is the source of this 98-nucleotide non-coding RNA. Lineage: Eukaryota; Fungi; Basidiomycota; Agaricomycetes; Agaricales; Mycenaceae. The record is from the annotation of a GenBank genome assembly.
UCCCUCUUAGCUCAGUUGGUAGAGCGCGUCACUAGUAUUCCAAAUCUGAAUCAUAGGGUGGAAUGACGAGGUCAGUCGUUCAAAUCGGCUAGCGGGAA